Molecule: ribosomal RNA, 267 nt
Filed under: uncultured bacterium
Lineage: Bacteria
Description: partial 16S ribosomal RNA
Rfam family: Bacterial small subunit ribosomal RNA
Source: RNAcentral
AUGCCUACGGGGGGCAGCAGUGAGGAAUAUUGGUCAAUGGGCGCAAGCCUGAACCAGCCAAGUCGCGUGAGGGAUGACGGUUCUAUGGAUUGUAAACCUCUUUUGUCGGGGAGCAAGGCCCGCCACGUGUGACGGGAAGGAGAGUACCCGAAGAAAAAGCAUCGGCUAACUCCGUGCCAGCAGCCGCGGUAAUACGGAGGAUGCGAGCGUUAUCCGGAUUUAUUGGGUUUAAAGGGUGCGUAGGCGGAAGGUUAAGUCAGCGGUCAA